Molecule: transfer RNA, 81 nt
Filed under: Lentinula edodes (shiitake mushroom)
Lineage: Eukaryota; Fungi; Basidiomycota; Agaricomycetes; Agaricales; Omphalotaceae
Rfam family: tRNA
About the family: Transfer RNA (tRNA) molecules are approximately 80 nucleotides in length. Their secondary structure includes four short double-helical elements and three loops (D, anti-codon, and T loops). Further hydrogen bonds mediate the characteristic L-shaped molecular structure. tRNAs have two regions of fundamental functional importance: the anti-codon, which is responsible for specific mRNA codon recognition, and the 3' end, to which the tRNAs corresponding amino acid is attached (by aminoacyl-tRNA synthetases). tRNAs cope with the degeneracy of the genetic code in two manners: having more than one tRNA (with a specific anti-codon) for a particular amino acid; and 'wobble' base-pairing, i.e. permitting non-standard base-pairing at the 3rd anti-codon position.
Source: Rfam by way of RNAcentral
GGUUCAGUAGUGUAGAGGUUAUCACCCGGGAUUCUGAUUACUUGACUUCCCGUAACCCAGGUUCGAGUCCUGGUUGGACCU